AUUUAGCACUGGUGGUCAAGUAUUAAGCCCACAUCGUAGUAGACUUCAAUGGACUACUUUAGAGGCUUUAAUGUGCGCUAGAAGUUGGUUGUGGAGUGCUGAAAAUACGGGUUCUACGAGCUAUAAAGUUGUUGCUGAAUGUGCUAAUGUAAUGAAUGAAAUGGUUUCAGAUGAUGAAGGUGAAAUGAUGGGUGCUGCUAGUGUCACUAAUUUGGAGGAAUGAUUAACAUUUAUUUGUUGAACAAUUUAAGUUGUUUCUUUUUUUUAUUAUGUAAUUUGAAAGAAUGAAACAUGUUUAAGUUGCUAAACAAAAUGAAACAUGUUGAAGGACAACC
Long non-coding RNA from Glycine soja, 335 nucleotides. RefSeq lists it as uncharacterized. The transcript is spliced from 3 exons. The record is from RefSeq and is a predicted model, not a curated record. Lineage: Eukaryota; Viridiplantae; Streptophyta; Magnoliopsida; Fabales; Fabaceae.